This 338-nucleotide long non-coding RNA is filed under the name Hordeum vulgare. Its description in RNAcentral is "long non-coding RNA (HVUL_LNC015474)". Lineage: Eukaryota; Viridiplantae; Streptophyta; Magnoliopsida; Poales; Poaceae. The record is from RNAcentral.
UGUCGAGUGGUAUGCAUCGCAUAUAUGGGGUUGCCCUCUUCGUCCAUCUUCGUAUGAACCGGACAUGGCUGGUCCAGGAUGGGGUUAUUGAACUGCUUCUUCUUGGGGGUGAACUGAGCCUUCCCUUUGCCCUUGAACUUGGCAUUGGUUACGGCUGCAGCUUCUGCUUGCGGAGCGGUCGGAGCUUUCUGCUUCUGCUUCCGAGUGUUGCCCCCGUCUCCUUCAGCGACUGUUUUGUGCUUGCCGCUUCAGAUGCGGUCCUCUUCUUCGCCAUUUGCAUAGCGUGUCGCUAUCUCCAUCAUCUUGCUCAUGGAGAUGUCGCCUGUUCGGCCAAACUU